CUGUCAGGCAUUUCAAUAAAACAUAAGGGUGAGUUUCAACCAGAGAGAUGGUGGAGAACAAUCUGAUGAUAAAACACAGCCUGCUGAUGGAGUCCACCAUCCACCAGUGCUUUUUGGAAUAGACCCAAUACCCCACAAGUCAAUAACCCUGAGCACUGGGAUAAUAGAAAGGAAAUAAAAAAAAGGGUAUAAACUGUACAGCUGUUACAUGCUAAAGCUGGAAGCCACCUCACGCAGAGUCAGCCAGAAAAAAAUAGGUCUGGUCAGUGGAGACAGAGAGAGAGUCACUCCUCAAGGCUGAUUCAUCUUGCCUGUCUCAAACACCCACCCACUUGGAAUGACAUGCCCUUUGGCAGCACUGCUUUCUCAAACUACAGCCCUAAACAGCCCCUUAUAGUUUGGACAUCUAAUUAAACUUACGUGAACUGAAAUCCACUCUUUGAGACUACUUACCAGCUUCAGAUAACUGCUGCUGCAAAAGUAACACCAGAGCAAAACCACUGUUUUGUCUCAAGGUGAGACUUCACCCCCUUCAAGAGGAACUCAGACUUACUCUCCACUGGGACCUCAAUGUUUUCUCACCCUCAGCAUGAACAUCACUCCAAGAACAGGACACUAGCAAGUGUCAUUCAUGCCACUGAAUACAUCUUAGUGAUGAUAACACACGUAGCAAACUCCAGGGCAAUGAUGGAAGGGAAAGCCGCUGCUCAGUAAGCAGCAGCUGUUAUCCCAAACAGGGUUUAUAUUCCAAAAUAACUCAAUGUUUCUUUGGAAAUGGAAAUAGAUUGUGGCUAUGGUAUGUCUAAUAGUGAGAUCCAGCCUAUCCAACUGGAUGUCAGGCAUGAUAGGAUGCUAUUGGCAAUGAAGAAAGUCCAUGUAUUAAGAACAGGCAGACAAGCAAACAAUGCCAGAAGUUACCCUCUUUUGUGGAAGAAGAGAGCAGUUACUGUAAAAUGUCAUUUUAUUUAAAGUGGAUUGAGCAAAUCACUGCAAAUCUAAGUGCUGACACUGAAUGUUUGAUAUACGCUUACAACAAUGGUGGACACAUGGAAAUACAGGCCAAUAUUUACCCACUGUCCAGGUAAGCCCAACUCAGAGGAAACAAGGAGCACUACUAAGAUCCCAUCAAUAGCAACUGAAAAUCCACACGUCAGCCCAGUAGUCACAUACUGUGAUGGCAAAAGGCAACAGAGUCUGAAUCUGCAAGGGGACACAAGCCUUGAGGCACCUCCAGGAUCCAAACAAACCCCAGGAUGGCUGCAGCAGCAGUGUCCUCACCAACAGCAAGCACGCCCAAGCGGCAACCCAAGCCAGGAGGGCUCAGAAGGCUCACUAUAUAAAAUGCUGUGUGGAUGAAAGCUUUUACCCAAGGAUAGGCCAAAAAGAGAUGCCAAGUGAAAAAGAAUGAAAGGAAAUGAGGGUAGGUGAAAGAAGGUAAAAGGAAUUAACUUCUCACCCGCACAGCUCCAACCAACCGCAGGACGCAAUUAAACUGGGUUUUGUGACCACAGAGCGUAAGCAGUAGGCUAAAGGUUGAGCCUACCUAGGAAUAGGACAAUUCAGAUGUAUACUUCUACUGUGUUUUUAAUGAUGCAGCUGUACAUUAGUGAUUAGCUAAUUAUGAGCUAUCCAGCUGUUAUUACUGAUAAUACAGGAUGGCUUGUGUCCUGGAGCAGGACUCUUCUGGCAUUAAUGUGAGUUCGUGCUGAGCUCCCACCUGCAAAAGCCAUGAAAGCCUUCCUACCUCAUAUUUUAACAUCCAAAGCCUGGGCAAGGUUCAUGUCUCAUGGACUGGCUACCUAUUAGCAUUUCAUAACGUCUUACAACAAUGUGAUUAUUACGGCUCUUUUCAUUCUGUCAGGUUUCUGAAAUCAUACUAGUUAGAUCUUUCUUUCCUUCAGUAUUCGCAUUACUUUACUGACUUCUUUGUCUUAUUGGAUUUCCUAAUUUAGGUACUUGGUAAGGCUCCUUCAGAAUGAGCGUUCCAAAAUGCCUUGCUUUUUGCUGGAAGUGGUUCUCUGAAGUCUUUUGGUCCCGAGUUCACGCUGAGGGAUUAACGGUGCUCUGGAGUUUCUUAGCAGGGCAUUUGCCUCCAUCCUGCUUUUACGUAGCAAACAGCGGUCACAGCUUAAAGGGGCUGUAUACAUCAGGAAGCUCUAAUCCUCUCUAGACGGCAGAAAGGAAAAGAGGUCUGAAAUUGCUGCAAUUUCCUUUGGUUUCUGUUCUCUCUUCCCCACUGCGUGCCAGCAGCCAUUUUGGGACAGAGAAAGCCUCCAUUAUUCUAACUUUUAAUACUUUAUUUACUUACUCAUGGUCCGCUGGUUAAGUAAUUACUGCUGAAAUUAACUUAAUUACUUAGUAAGUAAUUAAAUGCUUUUGAUGCAUAGACAGAAAUUUUCCUUCAUUAAGAAGUAACUUUGUGGCAAUAAACUUUUUACCUUUGUCAAGUUGUUAGGAAUAAUUAGACCAACGUAACAGGUCUGAAAAACACUAAAAACAACGCAGCCCCCUUUUCCAUUUUAAUAACUGCAUCUACAAACCUGAUUAAGUGAUAAUGGAGGUAUUAACCAAAUUAUAUUUAAAAAUAAAUAGAUUAAACAGAAGCUGUUUCAACUCAAAGGUUAACAUUGUUCCAAGAAGUUACAGGCAUCAAUUUACAAGAACUUAUAAUGACAAUAACUCCAGAACCACUAUUAAGUACUGAAUGUGCCACUCAAUUUUAAGGAGACAAAUUAUUAGACCUUUCAUUAUUACUGUUUUAGAAAUGAAAGGCCUAAACUCAUUCCUGUUAUUUACAUGAAACACUCACUUUUGAUUUUGCUACUCACAAGCUGCCCAGUGUAUCUACCGAGCAGCAGGUCUGCCAGCACUCAGGCCCUCCAGUUCUGACUGAGUUCGUAAAUAAAUGAACCAUUAAACAAUAAUUCUGUAAAAUAAACAACACAGGAGACUACAAAUGAAAAUUAAAAUGCACAUUAUCCUGUGAUACAUUUAUGGAGACUGUGCUUUUACUAAUAUUAACUCCUAUUCAAAUGAAAGGGUUUAAAGAUUAAGCCUGUGUACGGAUGACUUCUUACAAGGGGGAAGUAUGAAACAAUCCUGCAGUGUUCCUGCUAGCCUUGGACAGACCUGUAAUGCUGUCAAAGGCAUUUUCAACAGCAACUGUGGUUCUCUACAGGGCAGUGAAAGGCAGCCAACAGGGUGAAACCACCAGCACGUCUUGUGAAGAGAAGGCAACUAACUAAACAUAAAGGACGCCUGCACCUAGCUACCUGGAAUCCACAGCACACAGCCUAAGCCCUACAAAGGUGACAACCCAAACUGCCAAAAAGGAAAGCAUGAGAAGUAACUAUGAAAAGACUGAAGUAGGAGAGUGUGCAUAGCUCUUUGGGAGAAAAAAGAUUGAUAAUAUUGCCUUUUUAACAGAAGUCUCUGAAGCACAACUUUUACUGAAAGACUGCUGAACAAAUACUCAGAUCCCAGAAAAACAAGUGUAGGUGCACACAGGGUAGACACAGUAAAUGAAAUGAAGACUUGCGAAAGAAAUUCAUAAUGUUGCGUCCUCUUAAGCUGCACCAGGGAACCCUGAUUUGACACAUUCCAGCUGGGAAAUGAAAAGAAAAAGGUAACUGAGAAAAGGCAAAUGCCCCUGGGAAGCCAGCCAGUUUCGUGCUUUGUAAGACACUCCCGGAAACAGCACCGCCCCACGUGUGUUACCAAGCACACCUGCUGACCUGCGCUGGUACUUGGUGUACUGCUGGAUAGAUUCAGAGUCAAAAAUUGUCCUACAAACAGCAAACCAGCCAGCAACCAGGAAAUUGGGACCGUUCUGGUUCGGCUCGGUCUCGGCCAGCUCCAGCCAGAUGCUGCUUUCGGCACACCGUGCUCCUGCCCUGCUUCACCACGCCGGCUUUCUUCUGAACCCCUUCUCCCUCUGGUUUUAGGAUAGCUUUCCUUACUCCUCGGUUACAGAAGCUGACAGGUCCCAUAGCCAGCUGUAUCAAAAAGGAUGGUGUGGGGGGGAAACAACGUAAAAGCUCCUGCUUUCUGAGGAAGGUGCACAAGAUGCGGCUUGGGAAGGAUGAGAACUGAGCAAGGAGAAAGCAGUGGGUGUGCUCAUUGGGGAAAAUAGGGCAUGGUUUUGACAGAAGGUGAAACACUGGUAGGGGUGGGGGAAAGAAUGGAAGGAGCAGCAGUCUGGUUCUACUAUUGCCCAAACUUCAUCAAAUUUAAUUUGUUUCCCUGCUAAUUCCCCAGCAAUUUAUCUUACUGUAGCAUUUCACCAGUCCAAUGCAGUCAUUUUUGCAAGAUCUGGGCAAAGGGCUCUUAUCCCUUUGCUUGGAUAAAUAUGCACUACCUCAGCUUCCCCCAAAACUUCAUUUAAUCCAUAAAUAAGGAUGCAGCAUAACUUCCCACAUACACAUCUUUACUUCCAUCCUCCUGAGUCCAUUUAAAUCCUGACUUCCUACAACAAAUCUACAUUAAGAAGGCAGUAUUUUCUUUUAGAUAUUUUCACUUUGAUACAGGAUAUCAGCCAUUCUUCUUGUAAACAAUACCUAUCUGACUUACAGACUCCUUACACUGAUGAGCAAAAAUCAAAAUCUUAAGUAUCUACUCAGUAAUUAUACUGUAACUGCUUACAUCAGGUACAGAACAGAGUCUACUGAAUGGGCAUAAAGGCUAUGAUUUUUUUUAGGGACCUGAGCUCCUGCUGUCUAUGGACUUCUUGAGUUUUAGGACAGCCAUUUUGUACUUCAAAUUGAAUUUAUAUAUGAGCUACAGGUCCACCACAUCACAGAAAAUGGGGUUGGUUCUUCCCUAGCACGUAACACACUGCCCCUCAAGUCGGAUACGUCAACUGUGGUGUCUGGAGGCACGGAUGGAGGCACUUGCUAUUUCCUCUGUCUCCAGUCACAGCAAGGCUUCUGGCACUUUAACUUUCUGGUUUAUCAGAAAUUUUGAUAAUUCAGCACAUCUCUAAGCGUGUUUGACUGACCUGACAUAUCUCAAGGAAUGGCACAAGGAAAUUUGGUAUCAGUGAAGUAACCUCACUCCCUGCUAGGGAUAAAAUAACUCUCUGAAUGAAAAUAAAUGACUUUGAUUUAGAGACCAAGAAUGUCACAAAAACUGGGUGAAGCUUAUUACUUUUUGUUGGAUAAAAUCUAUUGCCUUAGGCUCAGGGGCAGCUUUUACUACAAAAAAUUUAACCCUGAAGCUAAACAAAAACUGUUUUGGAAGAGUAAUCUCAGAGAAGACCUUGUGCUCAAGCCGGCUUGUCUGGUUGCUUGUGCUCAGCACUUACAGCAAAAUCAGUAUCCCCAGAAAUCUUUGGCAUGAUGAAAUCUGUAGUUGUGAUUCCAGUGUUUAAGUUGUCUGUCUGUGAGAAAAUUUUAAAUUGAUUGGUAGAUAAGCUUGCAGGUUUUUGGUGGUGGUGGUUUUUGUUCCUUUAAUUUAGAAAUAGACUUAAACCCUACAUGAAUUUUUAGAUUGCUUAAAAAUAACUGAAUAUUUCACUAAAUUCAAAUGGAAAGAUAAAUAUAUGUCAUUUUUUGACAAAUAAAGGGCUCUCACCAUGGAGCGGGGAAGGGGAAGAGAACAUACACAUGCUUACUCUUAGAAGACCAGUGUCCUACCCAACCAGAAAGUAUAUCUGAAUGCCCUUCGCAAACACUUGCCUUUGAAAGCCAUCAAACAUCCCUAUCUAAAGGAAACACACGGUACGUGCUGUUUCAUGGGAAAGUGGAAAUCAAAUAAGUACCUGGAGAAAUGCUUCGAUACGGUGUUACCCUUACAGCCUAGGAGUCUUUUGCUGUUCAGCUUCAUUAUGGGCAUGGUCUGGAUUCCUAAAGACAAAUAUCUGCUGUCUUUGGGGAUGCCUUACAGUAGCCUGUCUGGCACCUAGCUGCUGGUCCAGAAAGACAUCAUCUUCCACAAAGGCUGCUAACCCUGCUAAGUGCUCUGGUAUGAGAUCUCUGCAUUGAACUGUCCAAGUUCAAACUACACAGCAACACAUAGCAACCCAAAUCAGCUUAAAAGCACAGUUCCCAACACCCAUUCUUGUGGAGCUGGCAGGAACUUUGCCGCCCACCUCACAGGGGGAGGCACGGGACAGCACAAUCGUCACGAUAUUCAAACGUGCAGGCAAAAUGGGAGCGAACCCAUGCAAAGCAGCAGGAAGCAGGCAAGGAAAAGGCCUUCACAUUUGAAAGAACAAGCUCAUGAUCAGCAAUGGUACAAACGGGAAGCAAAUGCUGUGACUAGUCAUCUCACAGUCGGAUCUGAAAAAGACCCGCUUACUUUCUGACAGUGAUGCUUCCGUUUGUUACUCUCAAAGCUUUAUUACUGAAAGCAGAGCAAGAAAUUUAAUGUCAGCCACAUCUGGUAUAAAGCUCCCUAGCAGGGAAACUGAGGAUCAGUCACUAUCACUUAUAUUUUUUAGUCGUUUUUCUCCUAUUAUGGGGCUUGCUUUUAACAUUACUAUCUAUUUGUGUUGCAGUAUCACAUGAUGGCACAGACCUCCUAUCUCAAGCACUGUGCGUGCAGGCACAGAUAGCACACAGACAACAUCUUGAUCACUUACAAAUAAGCCAAAACUCAGCAGGCAGACGAGCAGAAAUAGCGACAACAAACGAACUAGGACCAUAUUUAACUGGACAGACAACAAUCCCGCUGUCUUGAACAGCCAAAUCGCUGCCCAGUUCCUACGAGCAGAAAAAUAGGGAGCUGAAGGGCGAAAGAGGUCAGUGGCACUUGCAAAGCAGAGGUGGGUGACAACACCUCAAAAGCAUUUUGAAGUAACAGACAGUCAUGUAACACUGAUUUAAUAGAGCAUGAGCAGCGGGGUGGCAGGUGUAUUAGAAACAUGCAUGUGAAGGGAAGCAUUUCAGGCUGGAAAUGAACAUUUGCAUUCAUUUUGGAUCAUCACCUCACUUCCUUAACUUUUGGAUUUUAGGAGUUGCUCAGGAAGGAUCAUCAUGCCUGUGGACCAACUGCUGAGGUCAGGUAUAAGGACACAAGAAUCCCCACAUGCAACCAUUCAUGCUGUCUCACUUUGGAAACCACUUUCCUUCUUUCUCCUGUCAAAACCCAGCAGCAGCUACUAAAGCAUAACAUUGUGCACAUGCUCCUAAAACACUUCAAGCUAGUACAGAGAGUUUCCAGUCCUUUUAUACCUCCUUUCCUUUUGGCAAAAGACAGCGAGAGCAUCUCCGGGUGACAGCAAGAGCAGCAGGAAUUCACCCACAAAGGCGUAAGAGAAAACUGCUUCCCAUUUCCCAGCACUGCCAGCCCUGCACAUUUUGGUCAGCAGGGAGAUGCUGAGCUCUCCCAUAGGGUUUGUUUUUUUCUUUUUUUCCCGUAGAUGUAACUGGAAAAAGCUUGUGCUGAUAUCAAACUAAAAAAGUUUAGCUCCCAGAUGAGGUAAAAUUUUCAAACUUUGUGACACUUUUCCACAUUAGAAAAUCAUUAGAAAGAUACCAUUAGAAAAGCAGCUGCAGUGUUCUCAAGGCAUCCGUGAGUUACUAAUGCUAAAUCAAUCAUGAAAACGCUCCUCUGGUUUUUGUUCAUUCACAAAUAUUUAUAAAAAAACAUCCUUAGUCCUAAUUUUGGGGACUGCAGAGUCACAGCAUUUACUCUUAUCCUUAUCAGAGCCUGCUCUUUAAUUUUGGCCAUGUUCUCCAUAAAGAGUGCACCCAGGUCCAGCAGCACACACGCAGCCAUCGUGACUUUCACCCUCUGCCACGCGCCAGCAUUCACUGAUGGGCAUGCGGGUACGAAACAGGCACAAGGGCGAUACGCAGGCGAGCACAAAGUCACUUCAGCCAGGCUGAGCAGUGGCAGCUCCUGCUGCUUGACACACAAGCACAGAGCUCAGCCCCUGCUACUGCCCAAAAAGGCACCUAUAUGUAUAUGCCACAGCAUCCCAGCCUGGGCUCCAAGGGCUCGCCUAAACCAGGCAGCACGUUCACCAACAUCAAUCAUCACCGUUGCUCAUUUUUCCAGUACACGAAAAUGGCAGAAAUUAUUUUAAAGACCAUCACAAUUUAUUUAUUUUUGCUCUAUUUUCCUCUAACCCUGCCCAGACACAAGCAAAUUGGACAACUGAAAGGGAUGUAACGUUGCUGGGCACUUUAUUGGCCUUGUGAAUCCCAAACUGUCCAGCCUGGGGGCAGAGGAGGCUCUCUCAAUCCACCAAAACUGAGUUCCUUGUGCAUCCUUUCCAUUUAAACCUGAAGAAACCUCAAGUAAUGCAGCACAGGGCUCUGCGGGGGAAUCUCUGGGGGAAGCCACCUUGCAGUCAGGUCUGUGCCAGUGGGAUCGUGUGGUCCCACAGCUUGUGGGGCUGGGGGUGCGGGCACCGUGACCAAGCGGGGAGCUUAGUCCUGUCCACACCAAAGCACAGGAGGAAUGAGGGGUCGGAGGCAGGUGUAUUUAGGGUGUUCAUCACCAAAUCGCCUUGCUCUGCCAGAUUUAAACGCAGGAGCUGCCCGCGGGGUCCCGGUGAAGGGAAGGGUCACCAACCCGGCUGAGAUGCACCCCACCAGCCCCCCGCG
Long non-coding RNA from Anas platyrhynchos (mallard), 8552 nucleotides. RefSeq lists it as uncharacterized. The record is from RefSeq and is a predicted model, not a curated record. NCBI's taxonomy places the organism in Eukaryota, Metazoa, Chordata, Aves, Anseriformes, Anatidae.